Molecule: long non-coding RNA, 4002 nt
Organism: Homo sapiens (human)
Lineage: Eukaryota; Metazoa; Chordata; Mammalia; Primates; Hominidae
Exons: 3
Source: RefSeq, a predicted model, not a curated record
ACUCUGAGAGUUGCUAAUGGCACACAACUGCCAAGUGACAGGUUGUUUGACCCCUUUCCUUGAUUGUGCUUCCCCUGGAGGUGGGACAAGGAAAUGUUGGGCAAGGAAGAGACAGAUCAUGACUCUGAGGAGCAGCCUGUCAGGGGAAGUUAUGAAGCGAUGGUGGAUUCCAGUGGCCUAAAUGGGAAUUACUUGCUUAUAGACUCAUUUAUAUCCAUAAUAACAUAUGCUAUCUGUAAAUAGUUGGGUAUGCUUUAGCUAAAUGUUUAGUAAAUUUGCUUUUAAUCUCAUCCAUAGAGCAUAAACAUUACAUUCUUCCCAGGAAACUUCUAGACAUACAGGCUCAAUUUAAGAACAAUGGCAAGGGAUUGACUGUGUUUAACAUGAAACCUACUGACUUUACUGACCAUCUCAGACUUUAUACUGGUGCCCAGGCUGACAAAGACCCCUCAGACUGGAUCUCUCCACUUUGUUGGAAGAAUAAUGAUAAUAGAAUUUAUUUUCAGCCUGUUCUUGAAACUUGCUGUUCCCAUUAAUCCUCAUUAUCCUCCUUUAGUCUUCUGAGUCAUCUCACCUGAAAGUCUUAGAGCUCUGCUUCAUUUUAGGAACCGCAGGCAACCAUGUAGGUAAAUAAAGUUUUUAUUCUUCCCUGAUCUCAUAAAAGUAGAGUUGUGACUCAGUUAUAUUCUCCAGAGAGCCAAAGUUAUAUGUGUUCAGGCAAGGAGUUAGUCACACAAACAGAGCGGGGUUGCUAAGCAAUGUAAUACACAUUUCAUUAAUUACAACAAUGGCACUUUUGCUGUCGGUGCCCUUGAUUAUGGGGGAUUCCAGGUUGAAGCCCUGAGGACAUAGGAACAGUGAGGUCCAGAAGGGCCCAUAUGUGGUGUCUUUUGGUUCAACCCCAUCAUCUUAUUUUUCCUUGUCAAAUCUUUUUGGAUGAUUUCACACUUUGUGGUCAGGAGUAAAACAGUAAGACAUGAAAAUGGGAGCCAGGGCUGAUGAGCGGGUCAGUCAGCUGAGAUAUUAACACAUUAGGGCUUUAUUUGUGUGCAGGCAUGUGAAAUAAUUCAACCCUAAAACACCCACAGCUGACUUCCCCUGUUUUUUUUUUUAAGGUUCCAGCUUACAUAUCAAUUUUUUCCAAAAGCAACCCCAAAAGGAUUAGGUGUUUUCUGGUAUGGAUAUUUGUUAUUUCUGGUUAUAUUAUUGUUGUUUCUUGUUGUUAACAUCUAAAACCCUACCAAGUUUAGGGAGGAAUUGUCUUAUAGUAGUAUUUGUGGGAUCCUUUACUCCUUGUACCACUGAGGAAGCUGUAGAGGGGAACAUCUUUCUCUCCCAACCCCUAACAAUCUAGGUCUCACCCAAUCUGACCCUACUUUUUGGAAUUUUAGAUCACAAGUGAGCGACACAAAGAUAAAAGAGAUGGCCAGAAUUCAUUUCCUGUUUCCAGGGGCAGGGGUAGCUGCCUCAUGGAAGAAUUGUUCUUUCCACUUGGUGUUUGGAGCCUUCUGGGAUCCUCCCAUUAUAGUAGGUAGCUAAUCAGGUAUGAGCAGGGCAGGAGAGGGCUCCCCCAACCCACACAAGGAGUGUUGGGCAACCAUCAGUGAUAGUCAGGUUGUUGUUAGCUGUCCCUCUAAAGUAAUAAUUGGUCACAGCCGGCACCAGGGAAGGGCAUUCUCCUAAUAGGUAAAACACACCUGAAACUGGUGAUCAGCGGCUUCCCAAUAAGAUCUCAGGAGUGGGGAGAAGUAAUGGAAGACCCCGGAAGUAUGUCAACAUAUAAAACCCCAAGUCAAGCGGUAAAGCCAUGCACUUGGUCUCUCAAAUUGCCCGCUUGGCCCUCUUCCAAGUGUGCUUUCCUUCCUUUCAUUACUGCUCUAAUAAGCUAACUUAGUUUUAAUAAACUAACUCCUGCUCUAAAACUUGCCUUGGUCUCUCCUUCUGCUUUAUGUCCCUCAAAUUCUUUCUUCUGAGGAGACAAGAAUUGAGGUUGCUGCAGACCUGUACGGAUAACUACUGCCAUUAACAUAUUUUGGUGCUGUGUGUCUCGGAAACCUUCCUCUGGUAAUACUCUCACCUUCUGAGCUUGCUCUUCCAGCCCUUCUAGAUCCUAUGAACCACAUAUUGAAGUCCCUCUCCCCAUAGCCUUCCAGAGAGUUUUUUUAUCUAAAUCAGCCUGAAUCAUUUCCCAAACUUGACCCAGGAACCCUGAUUAUGAGCCAUUUUCCCGUGAGCUCUCAAGAGCAUCUGUAUUAGUUUCUGAUGGUUGUUGUAACAAAUUAUCACAAAUUUUAUGGAUUCAAGUAACACAAAUGUAUUCCGUAACACUGCUAGAGGCUGCAAAUCUGAACUCAGUAUCACUGGAUUGAAAUCACGUAUUGGCAAGACCGUGCUUCCUCCAGAGACUCUAAGGGGGAAUUUUUUCCUUGCCUCUUCCAGCUUCCAGUUUCUGGUGGUUGCCAGAAUUCCACAGUUUAUGGUUUGUGGUUGCAUCAUUCCAUUCUCUGCCCCAGUGGUCACAUUGCCUUAUCAUCUUCUGUCUGUAUCAAACCCUUGCCUCCCUUUUAUAAGAACAUAUGUGAUUGUAUUGAGGGCCUACCCUGAUAAUCCAGGAUAAUCUCCCAUCUCAAGAUCCUUAACUUCAUCACACCCACAAAGACCCUUUUUUGCCAUAUAGGGGAACAUUCACAGAUUCUAAGGAUUGGGAUGUGGAUAUCUUGGGGGGCCAUUUUUCACCUACCCCAGUAUCCUCAACUGUAUGCUCAAGAGUUCUGCAGCUGUUGUGGUCCAUUUACUUGCCUGUCUCCUGUACUAGACUGUGAAUUCUUGGAGCUCAGAAGCAAUUUGUCGUGCCUAUCAUUUAUCCCUGGUGCUACCCUUCUGGUAGGCACACAAAAAUACUUGAAUGAAUCAAUAAACAAGUUAAAUUCAUGAUGCAAUUCUUAUUGCAUAUCUGUUUUUUAGCACAAGUUUGGAAAUUUAAAAAUUUAGGAGGAAAUUGUAUCUCUUGUAGUAGGCACAUAGGUUUCAACACUAUUUCUCUGUUUAAUAGAGUUCGUUUGCUUUUGAACUUCUGGUGGCUCUUCUCUACGAUAACCCUACGUCAGAAGACGUGAAGCAUGCAGACGCCAUCCAGCUCCCAGGGCAGACGAGACUCUCAUGACCUGCCAAAUGCUGCCAUUAAUUGCCAGUUGGUGCCGAUGUGCCCUGCCCCGCACCUUCAUGUCUGGUUGAGGGGACUGCUCCAGGGGUACCUGGUCCUGACAGUGGUAACAUGAACUCGAUCUCUGGACCAAUCAAAGGGAUCCACAAGGCUCUGACCUUUUCCUUCUGGACAGGGAAGGCAAGCAUGUUCUCAGAGAAAGGACUCCUCCUGUCAAAUGUUGGAUUCUUAAAGGACAAGGGCAUGACAAGAGCAAAGACCUUGGGAAAGCUGGUCUGUCACUGUUUGCAGAAGGUUCUAGAGCAGUGCUUCCAAAACUUGAAUGUGCUCACCAACUUCAAGACACAAAGCACAGUUCUGCACUGGGGCCUGAGAGUCUGGAUUUCCAGUAAGUUCCCAGGGGAUAGCUAAUGCUCCUGGCCCAUGGACUACUCUUUGAGGAACAAGGGCUUAUAUCAGUGAUUCUUAAGUGGGAGCAGAGAAGGCACGUAUAAGAACUGAAGGAAAUUCUUUCAGAAUACACAUCCCCCUCUUUUCCCACCAGGACUAUCAAAUUGGGAGAAAUGAGGGCACAUAUAUUUAUUUAAAGCUUUAUUGAGGCAUAAUUUACUACCAUAAAAUUCACCCACUUUAAGUGAACAAUUAAAUGAUUAUUUGUAUUAGUCGUACAACCAUCAUCACCACAAUCUUAUUUUAAAUAAUUUCCAUCAUCCCAAAAAGAAAACUUGCUGUUUGCCAUCAUUCCCCAUUUCCACCCCUAGCUCCAGAAAACUAUUAAUAUAUGAUCUGUCUCUGUAGAUUUACCUUUUCUGGACCUUUCAUAUAAAUGGAAUCAUUUA